CCUACGGGGGGCAGCAGUCGAGAAUCAUUCACAAUGGGGGAAACCCUGAUGGUGCGACGCCGCGUGGGGGAAUGAAGGUCUUCGGAUUGUAAACCCCUGUCAUGUGGGAGCAAAUUAAAAAGAUAGUACCACAAGAGGAAGAGACGGCUAACUCUGUGCCAGCAGCCGCGGUAAUACAGAGGUCUCAAGCGUUGUUCGGAAGCACUGGGCGUAAAGCGUGCGUAGGCUGUUUCGUAAGUCGUGUGUGAAAGGCGCGGGCUCAACCCGCGGACGGCACAUGAUACUGCGAGACUAGAGUAAGGGAGGGGGAACCGGAAUGCUCGGUGUAGCAGUGAAAUGCGUAGAUAUCGAGAGGAACACUCGUGGCGAAGGCGGGUUCCUGGACAUUAACUGACGCUGAGGCACGAAGGCCAGGGGAGCGAAAGGGAUUAGAUACCCCUGUAGUC
RNAcentral lists this ribosomal RNA (446 nucleotides) under uncultured bacterium. Its description in RNAcentral is "partial 16S ribosomal RNA". It matches the Rfam family "Bacterial small subunit ribosomal RNA", at positions 338 to 795 of the family's 1533-position model. The record is from RNAcentral.